This 138-nucleotide small nucleolar RNA is filed under the name Ornithorhynchus anatinus (platypus). Lineage: Eukaryota; Metazoa; Chordata; Mammalia; Monotremata; Ornithorhynchidae. The record is from RNAcentral.
CCCCUCUCAGGGUUGCCCCUGGAGAGUUUCCAGUACCCUACCAGUCUGGACUACGGAAGGGAGAGUCAAGCAGAGGCCUAUCCAUUCCAUUCCUAGGUUGGGCAGUGGCUAGUGAGUGGAAGGCAAUCUGCUACAAGU